RNAcentral lists this ribosomal RNA (460 nucleotides) under uncultured bacterium. RNAcentral describes it as "partial 16S ribosomal RNA". It matches the Rfam family "Bacterial small subunit ribosomal RNA", at positions 338 to 795 of the family's 1533-position model. The record is from RNAcentral.
CCUACGGGGAGCAGCAGUGAGGAAUAUUGGUCAAUGGACGAGAGUCUGAACCAGCCAAGUAGCGUGAAGGAUGACUGCCCUAUGGGUUGUAAACUUCUUUUAUAUGGGAAUAAAAUGUUCCACGUGUGGGAUUUUGUAUGUACCAUAUGAAUAAGGAUCGGCUAACUCCGUGCCAGCAGCCGCGGUAAUACGGAGGAUCCGAGCGUUAUCCGGAUUUAUUGGGUUUAAAGGGAGCGUAGGUGGAUUGUUAAGUCAGUUGUGAAAGUUUGCGGCUCAACCGUAAAAUUGCAGUUGAAACUGGCAGUCGUGAGUACAGUAGAGGUGGGCGGAAUUCGUGGUGUAGCGGUGAAAUGCUUAGAUAUCACGAAGAACUCCGAUUGCGAAGGCAGCUCACUGGACUGCAACUGACACUGAGGCGCGAAAGUGUGGGUAUCAAACAGGAUUAGAUACCCGUGUAGUC